GUGUUUGCUUCAACAUCACAUAGGCACAUAUUGAAAUGAUACAGAGAAAAUUAGUAUGGCUCCCAUGCAAGAAUAACACUCUACUUCACAAACAAUUCCAAUGUCAA
This 107-nucleotide small nuclear RNA is filed under the name Chinchilla lanigera (long-tailed chinchilla). The record is from RNAcentral. Lineage: Eukaryota; Metazoa; Chordata; Mammalia; Rodentia; Chinchillidae.